UACGUAGGGACCAAGCGUUGUUCGGAAUCACUGGGCAUAAAGCGCACGUAGGCGGUGCCGUAAGUCGGAUGUGAAAUCCCUCGGCCUAACCGAGGAACUGCGUCCGAUACUGCGGUGCUUGAGGAUCAGAGGGGUGCAUGGAAUUUCCGGUGGAGCGGUGAAAUGCGUUGAUAUCGGAAGGAACUCCGGCGGCGAAAGCGAUGCACUGGCUGAUUUCUGACGCUGAGGUGCGAAAGCCAGGGGAGCAAACGGG
Molecule: ribosomal RNA, 253 nt
Filed under: uncultured bacterium
Lineage: Bacteria
Description: partial 16S ribosomal RNA
Rfam family: Bacterial small subunit ribosomal RNA
Source: RNAcentral